UUAGAGUUUGAUCCAUGGCUCAGAGCGAACGCUGGCGGCGUGCCUAACACAUGCAAGUCGAGCGAGAAAGUUCCCGCAAGGGGAUGAGUAAAGCGGCAAACGGGUGAGUAACGCGUAGGUAACCUGCCCUCCAGCUCAGGAUAACCUCGCGAAAGUGGGGCUAAUACUGGAUAACGUCCCUAUGGGGCAUCUCAGAGGGACCAAAGGAGGCGAGUGUCAUGCAGCUUCCACUGGAGGAGGGGCCUGCGUCCGAUUAGCUAGUUGGUAGGGUAACGGCCUACCAAGGCAACGAUCGGUAGCCGGCCUGAGAGGGUGUUCGGCCACACUGGGACUGAGACACGGCCCAGACUCCUACGGGAGGCAGCAGUGGGGAAUCUUGGGCAAUGGGCGAAAGCCUGACCCAGCGACGCCGCGUGGGGGAUGAAGGCCUUCGGGUUGUAAACCCCUGUCAGGUGGGACGAUGGUUUGCUGACCUAAUACGUCAGCGAGCCGACGGACCACCAGAGAAGCCCCGCAAU
RNAcentral lists this ribosomal RNA (518 nucleotides) under uncultured bacterium. RNAcentral describes it as "bacterial SSU rRNA". It matches the Rfam family "Bacterial small subunit ribosomal RNA", at positions 1 to 500 of the family's 1533-position model. The record is from RNAcentral.